GCCUAUCAGCUAGUUGGUGAGGUAACGGCCCACCAAGGCGACGACGGGUAGCCGGCCUGAGAGGGCGACCGGCCACACUGGGACUGAGACACGGCCCAGACUCCUACGGGAGGCAGCAGUGGGGAAUAUUGGGCAAUGGGCGCAAGCCUGACCCAGCAACGCCGCGUGAGGGAUGAAGGCCUUCGGGUUGUAAACCUCUUUCAGUAGGGAAGAAGCGAAAGUGACGGUACCUAAAGAAGAAGCACCGGCUAACUAUGUGCCAGCAGCCGCGGUAAUACAUAGGGUGCAAGCGUUGUCCGGAAUUAUUGGGCGUAAAGAGCUCGUAGGUCGUUUGACACGUCGAUUGUGAAAAUCUGAGGCUCAACCUCAGACCUGCAGUCGAUACGGUCAAACUAGAGUGUGGUAGGGGAGACUGGAAUUCCUGGUGUAGCGGUGGAAUGCGCAGAUAUCAGGAGGAACACCAAUGGCGAAGGCAGGUCUCUGGGCCAUAACUGACACUGAGGAGCGAAAGCGCGGGGAGCGAACAGGAUUAGAUACCCUGGUAGUCCGCGCCGUAAACGGUGGGCACUAGCUGUGGGUCCCUUCCACGGGAUCCGCGACGCAGCAAACGCAUUAAGUGCCCCGCCUGGGGAGUACGAUCGCAAGAUUAAAACUC
This 655-nucleotide ribosomal RNA is filed under the name uncultured bacterium. RNAcentral's name for it is "bacterial SSU rRNA". It matches the Rfam family "Bacterial small subunit ribosomal RNA", at positions 236 to 902 of the family's 1533-position model. The record is from RNAcentral.